RNAcentral lists this ribosomal RNA (548 nucleotides) under uncultured bacterium. Its description in RNAcentral is "bacterial SSU rRNA". It matches the Rfam family "Bacterial small subunit ribosomal RNA", at positions 355 to 896 of the family's 1533-position model. The record is from RNAcentral.
UGGGGAAUUUUGGACAAUGGACGAAAGUCUGAUCCAGCCAUGCCGCGUGCGGGAAGAAGGCCUUCGGGUUGUAAACCGCUUUUGUCAGGGAAGAAAAGCGCUGGGCUAAUACCCCGGCGUCAUGACGGUACCUGAAGAAUAAGCACCGGCUAACUACGUGCCAGCAGCCGCGGUAAUACGUAGGGUGCAAGCGUUAAUCGGAAUUACUGGGCGUAAAGCGUGCGCAGGCGGCUUUGCAAGACAGAUGUGAAAUCCCCGGGCUCAACCUGGGAACUGCAUUUGUGACUGCAAGGCUAGAGUACGGUAGAGGGGAGUGGAAUUCCGCGUGUAGCAGUGAAAUGCGUAGAUAUGCGGAGGAACACCGAUGGCGAAGGCAGCUCCCUGGACCUGUACUGACGCUCAUGCACGAAAGCGUGGGGAGCAAACAGGAUUAGAUACCCUGGUAGUCCACGCCCUAAACGAUGUCAACUGGUUGUUGGGAGGGUUUCUUCUCAGUAACGUAGCUAACGCGUGAAGUUGACCGCCUGGGGAGUGCGGCCGCAAGGUUG